UACGUAGGGGGCAAGCGUUGUCCGGAUUUAUUGGGCGUAAAGAGCUCGUAGGCGGCUCGGUAAGUCGGAUGUGAAACCUCCAGGCUCAACCUGGAGACGCCAUCUGAUACUGCCGUGGCUUGAGUCCGGUAGAGGAGCAGGGAAUUCCUGGUGUAGCGGUGAAAUGCGUAGAUAUUGGGAGGAACACCAGUGGCGAAGGCGGCUCACUGGACCGGAACUGACGCUGAGGCGCGAAAGCGUGGGGAGCAAACGGG
This 254-nucleotide ribosomal RNA is filed under the name uncultured bacterium. RNAcentral's name for it is "partial 16S ribosomal RNA". It matches the Rfam family "Bacterial small subunit ribosomal RNA", at positions 524 to 776 of the family's 1533-position model. The record is from RNAcentral.